Molecule: unclassified non-coding RNA, 340 nt
Filed under: uncultured fungus
Lineage: Eukaryota; Fungi
Description: partial contains small subunit ribosomal RNA, internal transcribed spacer 1, and 5.8S ribosomal RNA
Rfam family: Eukaryotic small subunit ribosomal RNA (bases 1-73)
Source: RNAcentral
GCAAACUUGGUCAUUUAGAGGAAGUAAAAGUCGUAACAAGGUUUCCGUAGGUGAACCUGCGGAAGGAUCAUUACCGAGUUAGGGUCCCCCUCAAACCCCCCCAGGGAUGAAAGGGGGGAGGGGGGGGCCCAACCUUCAAACCCUUGUGUACGCGCCCGCCGUUUUUUAUGUUUUUCCCUUUUUGCAGGUUGCUUCGGCGGGUUGAGAUGCCCGCCGAAGCAGCAGUGCGCAUCAGAAAAAUUCAUGUGCAAAAAAAAGAGUGCUGUCUGAGGUGAAAACCAGAAUAGUUAAAACUUUCAACAACGGAUCUCUUGGUUCCCGCAUCGAUGAAGAACGCAGC